GAUGAACGCUGGCGGCGUGCCUAAUACAUGCAAGUCGAGCGAACAGACGAGAAGCUUGCUUCUCUGAUGUUAGCGGCGGACGGGUGAGUAACACGUGGAUAACCUACCUAUAAGACUGGGAUAACUUCGGGAAACCGGAGCUAAUACCGGAUAAUAUAUUGAACCGCAUGGUUCAAUAGUGAAAGACGGUCUUGCUGUCACUUAUAGAUGGAUCCGCGCUGCAUUAGCUAGUUGGUAAGGUAACGGCUUACCAAGGCAACGAUGCAUAGCCGACCUGAGAGGGUGAUCGGCCACACUGGAACUGAGACACGGUCCAGACUCCUACGGGAGGCAGCAGUAGGGAAUCUUCCGCAAUGGGCGAAAGCCUGACGGAGCAACGCCGCGUGAGUGAUGAAGGUCUUCGGAUCGUAAAACUCUGUUAUUAGGGAAGAACAUAUGUGUAAGUAACUGUGCACAUCUUGACGGUACCUAAUCAGAAAGCCACGGCUAACUACGUG
This 497-nucleotide ribosomal RNA is filed under the name uncultured bacterium. RNAcentral's name for it is "partial 16S ribosomal RNA". It matches the Rfam family "Bacterial small subunit ribosomal RNA", at positions 28 to 507 of the family's 1533-position model. The record is from RNAcentral.